This 76-nucleotide transfer RNA is filed under the name Chlamydiota bacterium. Its description in RNAcentral is "Chlamydiae bacterium tRNA-Glu". It matches the Rfam family "tRNA". Rfam says of the family: Transfer RNA (tRNA) molecules are approximately 80 nucleotides in length. Their secondary structure includes four short double-helical elements and three loops (D, anti-codon, and T loops). Further hydrogen bonds mediate the characteristic L-shaped molecular structure. tRNAs have two regions of fundamental functional importance: the anti-codon, which is responsible for specific mRNA codon recognition, and the 3' end, to which the tRNAs corresponding amino acid is attached (by aminoacyl-tRNA synthetases). tRNAs cope with the degeneracy of the genetic code in two manners: having more than one tRNA (with a specific anti-codon) for a particular amino acid; and 'wobble' base-pairing, i.e. permitting non-standard base-pairing at the 3rd anti-codon position. Lineage: Bacteria; Pseudomonadati; Chlamydiota. The record is from RNAcentral.
GGCCCCAUCGUCUAGCCUGGUCCAGGACAUCAGAUUUUCAUUCUGGUAACAGGGGUUCGAAUCCCCUUGGGGUCAC